RNAcentral lists this long non-coding RNA (633 nucleotides) under Salvia miltiorrhiza (redroot sage). RNAcentral's name for it is "long non-coding RNA (SMIL_LNC012660)". Lineage: Eukaryota; Viridiplantae; Streptophyta; Magnoliopsida; Lamiales; Lamiaceae. The record is from RNAcentral.
UUUUUCUCCAUUCCAAUUGGGCCGCUGCUCUUUCCUCUCUGGACUCUGAAUCGCCAUUCCAAUGGGUACUUCAAAGUUUGGUAUUGAUAGCUUUAAUUUGGCAAAGUCAGCGAUGACUUGUGUAUAAAGAAAUUGGAUAUUUGAUUGACUUUUAAAAUUUUGCUUUGAUUUUGAAGUCGGCUAUGUAGAUGUGCUGCGUGUAGUGGGUAGAAUGCCUUGUAUAAAAGUUUUGCUUUAAGUUUGUCAAAAUUUAUUUAGUUCAUUUUGAAUCAUAGUUAAGUCUGCUGAUAUUUUGUCAAGUAUGUAGAUAUUGUUUCAAUUUUUUUUUGAGGGAAUAUUUUGCUGAUAUUGUUUCAAUUUUUUUUUUAGUUCUGCUGAUAUUGAUUCAAUUUAGUUUUGCUUAAGCCGGCUGAAUUUUACUUUUUUUUUGUAUUGACUGAAAUAGAUAUUUCGUAUGCACAAGACGUAACUAGUUGCUACAAGUUGGGGAUGGUUCAUCUUCAACAAUUAAUGACAUUAUAAUUGUUUUAAGAUUAUUAUUUAUUUUAAAUUUAUUUAUUUAUUUAUUUAAUUAUUAAUUUUAUUAAAAAAAAAUUGGACCCCCCUAAACUCAAAGUCUGGCUCCGCCCCUGC